Molecule: ribosomal RNA, 2923 nt
Filed under: Klebsiella quasipneumoniae
Lineage: Bacteria; Pseudomonadati; Pseudomonadota; Gammaproteobacteria; Enterobacterales; Enterobacteriaceae
Description: 23S ribosomal RNA
Rfam family: Bacterial large subunit ribosomal RNA
Source: RNAcentral
GGGUUGUGAGGUUAAGCGACUAAGCGUACACGGUGGAUGCCCUGGCAGUCAGAGGCGAUGAAGGACGUGCUAAUCUGCGAAAAGCGUCGGUAAGGUGAUAUGAACCGUUACAGCCGGCGAUGUCCGAAUGGGGAAACCCAGUGUGAUUCGUCACACUAUCGUUAACUGAAUACAUAGGUUAACGAGGCGAACCGGGGGAACUGAAACAUCUAAGUACCCCGAGGAAAAGAAAUCAACCGAGAUUCCCCCAGUAGCGGCGAGCGAACGGGGAGCAGCCCAGAGUCUGAAUCAGCUUGUGUGUUAGUGGAACGGUCUGGAAAGUCCGACGGUACAGGGUGAUAGUCCCGUACACCAAAAUGCACAGGUUGUGAACUCGAAGAGUAGGGCGGGACACGUGGUAUCCUGUCUGAAUAUGGGGGGACCAUCCUCCAAGGCUAAAUACUCCUGACUGACCGAUAGUGAACCAGUACCGUGAGGGAAAGGCGAAAAGAACCCCGGCGAGGGGAGUGAAAAAGAACCUGAAACCGUGUACGUACAAGCAGUGGGAGCACCUUAGGGUGUGACUGCGUACCUUUUGUAUAAUGGGUCAGCGACUUAUAUUCUGUAGCAAGGUUAACCGUAUAGGGGAGCCGCAGGGAAACCGAGUCUUAACUGGGCGUUAAGUUGCAGGGUAUAGACCCGAAACCCGGUGAUCUAGCCAUGGGCAGGUUGAAGGUUGGGUAACACUAACUGGAGGACCGAACCGACUAAUGUUGAAAAAUUAGCGGAUGACUUGUGGCUGGGGGUGAAAGGCCAAUCAAACCGGGAGAUAGCUGGUUCUCCCCGAAAGCUAUUUAGGUAGCGCCUCGUGAACUCAUCUUCGGGGGUAGAGCACUGUUUCGGCUAGGGGGUCAUCCCGACUUACCAACCCGAUGCAAACUACGAAUACCGAAGAAUGUUAUCACGGGAGACACACGGCGGGUGCUAACGUCCGUCGUGAAGAGGGAAACAACCCAGACCGCCAGCUAAGGUCCCAAAGUCAUGGUUAAGUGGGAAACGAUGUGGGAAGGCACAGACAGCCAGGAUGUUGGCUUAGAAGCAGCCAUCAUUUAAAGAAAGCGUAAUAGCUCACUGGUCGAGUCGGCCUGCGCGGAAGAUGUAACGGGGCUAAACCAUGCACCGAAGCUGCGGCAGCGACACUAUGUGUUGUUGGGUAGGGGAGCGUUCUGUAAGCCUGCGAAGGUGACCUGUGAGGGUUGCUGGAGGUAUCAGAAGUGCGAAUGCUGACAUAAGUAACGAUAAAGCGGGUGAAAAGCCCGCUCGCCGGAAGACCAAGGGUUCCUGUCCAACGUUAAUCGGGGCAGGGUGAGUCGACCCCUAAGGCGAGGCCGAAAGGCGUAGUCGAUGGGAAACAGGUUAAUAUUCCUGUACUUGGUGUUACUGCGAAGGGGGGACGGAGAAGGCUAUGUUAGCCGGGCGACGGUUGUCCCGGUUUAAGCAUGUAGGCUGAUUAUCCAGGCAAAUCCGGAUAAUCAAGGCUGAGGUGUGAUGACGAGGUACUACGGUGCUGAAGUAACAAAUGCCCUGCUUCCAGGAAAAGCCUCUAAGCAUCAGGUAACAUCAAAUCGUACCCCAAACCGACACAGGUGGUCAGGUAGAGAAUACCAAGGCGCUUGAGAGAACUCGGGUGAAGGAACUAGGCAAAAUGGUGCCGUAACUUCGGGAGAAGGCACGCUGGUGUGUAGGUGAAGCCCCUGCGGGUGGAGCUGAGACCAGUCGAAGAUACCAGCUGGCUGCAACUGUUUAUUAAAAACACAGCACUGUGCAAACACGAAAGUGGACGUAUACGGUGUGACGCCUGCCCGGUGCCGGAAGGUUAAUUGAUGGGGUUAUCCGUAAGGAGAAGCUCUUGAUCGAAGCCCCGGUAAACGGCGGCCGUAACUAUAACGGUCCUAAGGUAGCGAAAUUCCUUGUCGGGUAAGUUCCGACCUGCACGAAUGGCGUAAUGAUGGCCAGGCUGUCUCCACCCGAGACUCAGUGAAAUUGAACUCGCUGUGAAGAUGCAGUGUACCCGCGGCAAGACGGAAAGACCCCGUGAACCUUUACUAUAGCUUGACACUGAACAUUGAGCCUUGAUGUGUAGGAUAGGUGGGAGGCUUUGAAGCGUGGACGCCAGUCUGCGUGGAGCCAACCUUGAAAUACCACCCUUUAAUGUUUGAUGUUCUAACGUUGGCCCCUAAUCGGGGUUGCGGACAGUGUCUGGUGGGUAGUUUGACUGGGGCGGUCUCCUCCCAAAGCGUAACGGAGGAGCACGAAGGUUAGCUAAUCCUGGUCGGACAUCAGGAGGUUAGUGCAAUGGCAUAAGCUAGCUUGACUGCGAGCGUGACGGCGCGAGCAGGUGCGAAAGCAGGUCAUAGUGAUCCGGUGGUUCUGAAUGGAAGGGCCAUCGCUCAACGGAUAAAAGGUACUCCGGGGAUAACAGGCUGAUACCGCCCAAGAGUUCAUAUCGACGGCGGUGUUUGGCACCUCGAUGUCGGCUCAUCACAUCCUGGGGCUGAAGUAGGUCCCAAGGGUAUGGCUGUUCGCCAUUUAAAGUGGUACGCGAGCUGGGUUUAGAACGUCGUGAGACAGUUCGGUCCCUAUCUGCCGUGGGCGCUGGAGAAUUGAGGGGGGCUGCUCCUAGUACGAGAGGACCGGAGUGGACGCAUCACUGGUGUUCGGGUUGUCAUGCCAAUGGCACUGCCCGGUAGCUAAAUGCGGAAGAGAUAAGUGCUGAAAGCAUCUAAGCACGAAACUUGCCCCGAGAUGAGUUCUCCCUGAGACUUUAAGUCUCCUGAAGGAACGUUGAAGACGACGACGUUGAUAGGCCGGGUGUGUAAGCGCAGCGAUGCGUUGAGCUAACCGGUACUAAUGAACCGUGAGGCUUAACCUUACAACGCCGAAG